Schizosaccharomyces pombe (fission yeast) is the source of this 702-nucleotide non-coding RNA. The record is from the annotation of a GenBank genome assembly. Lineage: Eukaryota; Fungi; Ascomycota; Schizosaccharomycetes; Schizosaccharomycetales; Schizosaccharomycetaceae.
UGACUACCAAACUAUUGUAGGCAAAUGAAUUUAUUAUGUAAAGAAAUCUUGGUUAAGUUCUAUCCUUUUGCGGACCCUUCACCAUCACUGGCUACUUGCCAUAUAUAUUAUAAACUGCCAUUAUGUUCUACGUAAAUUAGCCUGCGUCGAGGAAACGUAAUGAAUGGGCGGCUCAGCGUUGUAUGGAAAUAAGACUAGUUAAGUGUCCUUUAGUAAUGCACUCGAUUACUCUAUGUGACGUCGAGAGGACGGAAGAGUAGGAAUGAUGGUAAAGGCAAAAAACAUAUUCGUUCUUUUGACAACACACAGCUCGCAUCGCCUUCAAUUACCCUUGCCAAUGUUGCAAGUGAUGAUGGGUGAGAUGGGAUAGAAAGAGGAGCAAACUUUUAAUCUGAUAUAUCAUUGAUGUAUAGGAAAUGAGAAAUAAAAAUACAACUAGGUUUAUAGUGCAUUCCACUGUAUAAUAUAAAGAUUAGGAUAGAUACACAUGACUUUUGAAGUGCAGAAGUAUAGUCAAGUAGGGAAUAUAGUUGAGUAGAUGCGAGUUGUAGAACAAAACAAUUCAGUAUACGCAAUUUUCCCCUACGGGAACAUAUUUAGGUAUGCGUGCGAAUGGAGAGUGAAGAUGAAUGAAAUGUAGAAAAAAAAAACACUGGAUUGUCAGUUUUGCCAUAAGAUACAUUUACUUUCUUGUUAUUCCAU